UACGAAGGGUGCAAGCGUUACUCGGAAUUACUGGGCGUAAAGCGUGCGUAGGUGGUUUGUUAAGUCUGAUGUGAAAGCCCUGGGCUCAACCUGGGAAUUGCAUUGGAUACUGGCAGGCUAGAGUGCGGUAGAGGAUGGCGGAAUUCCCGGUGUAGCAGUGAAAUGCGUAGAGAUCGGGAGGAACACCGGUGGCGAAGGCGGCGAUCUGGGUCGAUACUGACGCUGAGGUGCGAAAGCGUGGGGAGCAAACAGG
Molecule: ribosomal RNA, 253 nt
Filed under: uncultured bacterium
Lineage: Bacteria
Description: partial 16S ribosomal RNA
Rfam family: Bacterial small subunit ribosomal RNA
Source: RNAcentral